This 83-nucleotide transfer RNA is filed under the name Bacillota bacterium. RNAcentral describes it as "tRNA-Leu". It matches the Rfam family "tRNA". Rfam says of the family: Transfer RNA (tRNA) molecules are approximately 80 nucleotides in length. Their secondary structure includes four short double-helical elements and three loops (D, anti-codon, and T loops). Lineage: Bacteria; Bacillati; Bacillota. The record is from RNAcentral.
GCGCCUGUGGUGGAAUUGGCAGACACGCUAGAUUUAGGAUCUAGUGCGAGAGCGUGGGGGUUCAAAUCCCUCCAGGCGCACCA